Molecule: small nucleolar RNA, 124 nt
Filed under: Erinaceus europaeus (western European hedgehog)
Lineage: Eukaryota; Metazoa; Chordata; Mammalia; Eulipotyphla; Erinaceidae
Description: Small nucleolar RNA SNORA3/SNORA45 family (ENSEEUG00000021794.1)
Source: RNAcentral
GCCGAGACCAGAGUCUCGCCAAGCAUGGCAUUGCCCCGGCGUGCUGGGGCAUCGGAGAGCAGCUGCUGGCCUAUUUGCCAGCCGGGGCCCCGUGGCCGGGCAGGUCUCCGAGCCAGGGACAGGC